This 148-nucleotide non-coding RNA is filed under the name Homo sapiens (human). Lineage: Eukaryota; Metazoa; Chordata; Mammalia; Primates; Hominidae. The record is from Rfam by way of RNAcentral.
GCUGGGCAUGGUGGUGUGUGCCUGUAGUCCCAGCUACUCGGGAGGCUGAGGCACGAGAAUCACUUGAGCCUGGGAAGCAGAGGUUGCAGUGAGCCGAGAUUGUGCCACUGCACUCCAGCCUGGGCAACAGAGUGAGAUUCUGUCUCAA